AAAAAAAAAGAAAAAAGAAAUACGCACGAGCAGCCAGGCGCAGUGGCUCACGCCUGUAAUCCCAGCACUUUUGGAGGCUGAGGCGGGCGGAUCAUCUGAGGUCAGGAGUUCAAGACCAGCCUGGCCAACAUGGUGAAACCCUGUCUCUACUAAAAAUACAAAAAAUUAGCCAGGUGUGGUGGUGGGCGCCUGUAGUCCCAGCUACUCGGGAGGCUGAGGCAGGAGAAUUGCUUGAACCCAGGAGGCGGAGGUUGCAGUGAGCCGAGAUGGUGCCAUUGCACUCCAGCCCAGGACUCUGUCUCCAAAAAAAAAAAAAGAAAGGAAGAAAAAUAAGCACAGGCAUGUGUGGAGACCUGGAGGCAGGGCUGCCCCUCACGAACCAUCCACAAUGCCAAGGAAAGCAGAAGCAAACGUCCAGCAGCAGGGAGCACAGGGCAUGUGAAACCGACACUGAGGAAACAGCCACGGGAGACAGCACACAGGGAGAAAGAAAGGCUCGGGCACUCCCUUGCUGUGGUUCAGGCCUGUUCUACCACCCCGGGGGUCACCAUCGCCCACGGACCUUCCUGCUGGGUGCCUGUAGCACAGCGCCUCCUGACAGCUCAGGUUUAAGGGAAGUUUGCCGGAUAACUAAAAUGAGGCUGGAGGGAGGAGGGAGGAGGGAGCAGGGAGGAGCUAGCCCACAGGAGCCAAUGCAGACCUGACCCCACUGGUGCCGGACUGACUCUGGGAGAGUCAUUAGGGCAGCUUUCUCAGGCUGGAUGAGCACUGGGGGUUGGGGGCUUGCACUGGCCCACCCCACCACUCAGGAAACCUUCCCUCAGCAGGACCUGCCCUGCACAGAUCAUGGGCAGCCUCCCUCUGCUGCCCACUUCCACAGCCCCAGACUCCAUCUCAACUGCAGCCAGGAGUCACUGCUAACACCACAAAGGACCUGUUCCUGCACCAGCACGGGCCAGCUCUGGGGCAGGUGCCCGGGACAGAGUCACGAGUGGCAAGCAGACAAUAACCAACAGGCAAGAUGGACAGACUGAUUGCCGGGAUGAUGUGGCAGGAGGAACUGGAAUGGUGGUGGAGGAACCCCAGCCCUGGGGACAGACCUCCACCCAUGCACAGACCUCCGAGCUGUAGCCUGCUCUGGAACACUAAGGGCAGCACCAGAGGUUGAAGAGGAGCAGACGCAGGAACUUUGGGGGACACGCUCGGGCAACAGUGAGAAAAGCCCUAGGCUGGGGCAGAGGAAGUCCUCGAUGGAACAAGCAUCAAGACACGAAGUGCAAGAAAUUUGCCUAAAACAAGAGGCAGUCCCAGGGCAGACCGGGGCCCCUGGAGAAGGGUUCUGCAAUCUAUCCUCACUGCCUGCAGCUUCCCUCCUGUCCCUUGAUAACCACACCAAAGAAAGAUAACAACAGUCUCUGCCUCCUGGGACACAGCGAGGGCCACUGUGCCCAGCCCACCAUCUGUGCACAGGGCAGGCUCAGAUGGCUGCCGCCACCAACCUGUGUCAUCCGGGAGUGCCUUUCUCAAGAGCCCUCAGUGCUUAUCUAGCGCUGGCCUGCCCCACCUCGGGUUAAAUCAAAACCUCUUUGGUGGCCGGGCGCGGUGGCUCACGCCUGUAAUCCCACGGAGGCCGAGGCGGGCACAUCACCUGAGGUCAGGAGUUGGAGACCAGCCUGGACAACAUGACAAAAUACCUCUCUGCUAAAAAUACAAAAAAAUUAGCCGGGCGUGGUGGCGCACACCUGUAAUUCCAGCUACUCGGGAGGCUGAGGCAGGAGAAUUGCUUGAACUGAACUGGGGAGGCGGAGAUUGCAGUGAGCAGAGAUCAAGCCACUGCCCUCCAGCCUGGGCGACAGAGUGAGACUCCGUCUCAAAACAAAACAACAACGCCUCUUUGGAACCAGCAGAGGAACAGACUCAGGCCCUAUUAGACUCCAGCCAUGCAAAGUUCCUAGUCACUGCCCACUGGGAGAGUGGGGACCUGAAAGGACACAGGGCCAGGGGAAAGCUCUUUCUGCCCAGCAGCUCCUGGAGAAGAGCGACUCUGUGCCGGGACACCCUUCCCCCUGCGGCACCCAGCGCAGCCUAUCUCUGAGGGAGUCCUGGCUCACAGCGUUUCUGACCGGAGUCACAGCCUGAACCCAGGCAAGAGGCGCCUGAGUGGGAACAACCCCUUCCUGGGGACUCCGCAGGCUCCCCAAGGGACACUUCAGACCCGGAAGGGAGGGGCAGCGCCCAGAGCGCCCUCCUGCAGCCCCGGGCACUGCGUGGCCACCGCCCCCUGACGGCCACGGCCCCAAAGGCGCCGCGCAGGGCCCGGCUCCCAGAGGGACCACCCGGGGUGACGAACCGGGGUGGGGGCGGGUUCCUCCCGCUGCACCCGCACAACUUCCCCACUUCAUGCUCUUGCAAAGCCCCUGCAGAGGCUCGAAGGUGCCACGCGCGUGCGGGGUAAUCAGAAGGCACCGUGCGCCGCACCACCUCCAAAUCCCAAGCCCUGGCCUGGCGGGUCGGGCAGGGCCACACCCCGAGCCGACAACAUAGACCAACUCGCACAGUCGAGCAGGCGCACAGCCCGCCGGGCGCUCGAGGCCGAGGGCCCCACCCACUGGGGGCAGAGACCAAGGUCAACGCUGGGGGUGCGCACCCGGGCUCCUUCCCCGAGCCCCGAGGAGCCUGCCGGCUUGGGCCAGGUCCGUCCUCCCGGCCGCUUCAAGCCCGCGGGGUUCCGCCCGGCACAUGGGAGAACGGGGCGCCGCCGCCUGGCCUCCGGGAGUGGGGGACUUGGGCUCGCGGCGAGGACGGACCACCCGCCUAGCUCGGCCAGAUCUGCAGCCCCCUCCCGCUCGCCAGUGGAGUGGAGGCGGCGCCCACGCCUACCGGUCCUCGCACGCGGUCUCGCUUUUCUCAGCCUGCCGGCCUGGUGUGUCUUGGGCCGUAGGUGGCGACGUGGGCGAGGGGUCAGCGUCCGCGCGGGCCGGGGGCGCAGCCAUGGCGCUCGGAGGCCUCUCCGCGGGCCGGGCCGGACGGCGCGCAUGGGCCGCCGGGAGCUAGCGGUUCCCUCUUCUGCGAACCGUGGGCUACAAGCCCCACAGGGCCGCGCGUCGCGGACUACAAGCCCCACAGGGCCGCGCGUCGCGGACUACAAGCCCCACAGGGCCGCGCGUCGCGGACUACAAGCCCCACAGGGCCGCGCGUCGCGGACUACAAGCCCCACAGGGCCGCGCGUCGCGGACUACAAGCCCCACAGGGCCGCGCGGCGGGCAUGCGGGACCCGUAGUUCGGCAGCCUCCGCCACGUGCCUGGAGGGCCCCGCCCCGUUUUUCACCACAAACUGAGCCGCACAAAAACCCUGGAAAAAAAUCAAUAAACAUUUAUUUGAUACAGUCAUUUUAAUACAUACAGUGAUGGCCCGUCCCCACGCCACUCGGGACCAGGGCGCGGGGCGGGGACGAGGACCGGGGACAGAUGGUCACAAGGCGGGCGGGGCCCGAACUCACCGUCGAAACAUCUCGCAAAUAAACACUUUGUAGAUAGAAUAUAUAUGUAUAUAUAUAUGGUUACAAGUGAUAGCUGGAACCUCUUUCAAAAUGCACUUAUGUACUGAUAACUGGCAUUAAAAAACCCAAACCAAG
RNAcentral lists this non-coding RNA (3635 nucleotides) under Pongo abelii (Sumatran orangutan). The record is from RNAcentral. Lineage: Eukaryota; Metazoa; Chordata; Mammalia; Primates; Hominidae.